ACAACAUUCGGACCGUCGGUCUAUCGCAAUAUCACCCGCUCGAUGGAAGAUUUUCCCUUCGUCGU
This 65-nucleotide microRNA precursor is filed under the name Bombyx mori (domestic silkworm). RNAcentral describes it as "mir-2774 microRNA precursor family". It matches the Rfam family "mir-2774 microRNA precursor family". Lineage: Eukaryota; Metazoa; Arthropoda; Insecta; Lepidoptera; Bombycidae. The record is from Rfam by way of RNAcentral.